AACGAACGCUGGCGGCGUGCCUCAGACAUGCAAGUCGAACGAUUAAACUUUCCUUCGGGAAAGAUAUAGAGUGGCGCACGGGUGAGUAACACGUAAGUAAUCUACCCUCGAGUGGGGAAUAACGUUCGGAAACGGACGCUAAUACCGCAUAAUGCAGCGGCACCGCAAGGUGACAGUUGUUAAAGAUUUAUCGCUUGAGGAGGAGCUUGCGGCAGAUUAGCUAGUUGGUAAGGAACGGCUUACCAAGGCUACGAUCUGUAACCGGUCUAAGAGGACGGUCGGUCACACUGACACUGAAUAACGGGUCAGACUCCUACGGGAGGCAGCAGUCGGGAAUUUGGCAAUGGGCGAAAGCCUGACCCAGCAACGCCGCGUGAAGGAUGAAGUAUUUCGGUAUGUAAACUUCGAAAGAAUGGGAAGAAUUAAUGACGGUACCAUUUAUAAGGUCCGGCUAACUACGUGCCAGC
RNAcentral lists this ribosomal RNA (467 nucleotides) under uncultured bacterium. RNAcentral's name for it is "bacterial SSU rRNA". It matches the Rfam family "Bacterial small subunit ribosomal RNA", at positions 29 to 512 of the family's 1533-position model. The record is from RNAcentral.